GAUGAACGCUGGCGGCGUGCCUCAAACAUGCAAGUCGAGCGGGGCUAUGUAAUAUCGCAAGGUAGAACAUAGCCUAGCGGCGAACGGGUGAGUAACACGUGGGUAACCUGCCUGGAAGACAGGGAUAACGAUUCGAAAGGGUCGCUAAUACCUGAUAAUAUCCUUUCAUCGCAUGGUGAUAGGAAGAAAGGGGAAACCCGCUUUCAGAUGGGCCCGCGUCCCAUCAGCUAGUUGGUAAGGUAAAGGCUUACCAAGGCGACGACGGGUAGCCGGUCUGAGAGGAUGUACGGCCACACUGGGACUGAGAUACGGCCCAGACUCCUACGGGAGGCAGCAGUUGGGAAUCUUAGGCAAUGGACGAAAGUCUGACCUAGCGACGCCGCGUGAGGGAAGAAGGCCUUCGGGUUGUAAACCUCUGUCAUGGGGAGAAGGAAGUGACGGUACCCCAAGAGGAAGCCCUGCUAACUACGUG
This 472-nucleotide ribosomal RNA is filed under the name uncultured bacterium. RNAcentral's name for it is "bacterial SSU rRNA". It matches the Rfam family "Bacterial small subunit ribosomal RNA", at positions 28 to 507 of the family's 1533-position model. The record is from RNAcentral.